AAAGGGAGACCUAAUUCGGGUAUAAGACGAAAAAAUAGUAGUCGAAACCAAGAAUCAAUCCCAAAAGGUCGGAACGAGGUAUGUGGCUUUCAAACUAGGUUCUGGGUUCAUAAAAGACCUGAAUCAGGAACAAGGGCUAUUAGCUCAGGUGGUUAGAGCGCACCCCUGAUAAGGGUGAGGUCCCUGGUUCGAGUCCAGGAUGGCCCACCUGCACAGGUGGCAAAAACAAAGAAAAGAAGCUCCGAAUCAGCACCUUAUCUUACUCAUAUAGUAAGAGAGAAUGCUGGCUCUGAGUACAGAGUCCAGAGGAACCUUGAAAACUGCAUAGAGCUAGGUGAAAAAGCCAAAAAAGAAGACCGCAAG
Molecule: transfer RNA, 363 nt
Filed under: uncultured Microcystis sp.
Lineage: Bacteria; Bacillati; Cyanobacteriota; Cyanophyceae; Chroococcales; Microcystaceae
Description: partial 16S-23S ribosomal RNA intergenic spacer
Rfam family: tRNA (bases 134-207)
Source: RNAcentral